Molecule: ribosomal RNA, 480 nt
Filed under: uncultured bacterium
Lineage: Bacteria
Description: SSU rRNA
Rfam family: Bacterial small subunit ribosomal RNA
Source: RNAcentral
AGGACGAACGCUGGCGGCGUGCUUAACACAUGCAAGUCGAGCGGUAAGGCCCUUUCGGGGGUACACGAGCGGCGAACGGGUGAGUAACACGUGGGUGACCUGCCCUUAGCUCUGGGAUAAGCCUGGGAAACUGGGUCUAAUACCGGAUAUGACCUCGCGAUGCAUGUCGUGGGGUGGAAAGCCUUGUGCGGCUAGGGAUGGGCCCGCGGCCUAUCAGCUUGUUGGUGGGGUGAUGGCCUACCAAGGCGACGACGGGUAGCCGGCCUGAGAGGGCGACCGGCCACACUGAGACUGAGACACGGCCCAGACUCCUACGGGAGGCAGCAGUGGGGAAUCUUGCGCAAUGGGCGAAAGCCUGACGCAGCGACGCCGCGUGAGGGAUGACGGCCUUCGGUUGUAAACCUCUUUCAGCCCUGACGAGCGAAAGUGACGGUAGGGCGAGAGAAGCACCGGCCAACUACGCGCCAGCAGCCGCGGUAA